This is a small nuclear RNA of Pteronotus mesoamericanus, 113 nucleotides long. RefSeq annotates it as U5 spliceosomal RNA. Lineage: Eukaryota; Metazoa; Chordata; Mammalia; Chiroptera; Mormoopidae. The record is from RefSeq and is a predicted model, not a curated record. The transcript has a single exon.
UACUCUGGUUUCUCUUCAGAUUGUAUAAAUCUUUUGCCUUUUACUAAAGAUUUCCACGGAGAGGAGCAACUCUGGAGAAAAAAAAAGAAUUUACAUAAGGUUCCAUAACAGAU